AGAGUUUGAUCAUGGCUCAGGAUGAACGCUAGCUACAGGCUUAACACAUGCAAGUCGAGGGGAAACGGCAUCGAAAGCUUGCUUUUGAUGGGCGUCGACCGGCGCACGGGGUGAGUAACGCGUAUCCAACCUGCCCACCACUUGGGGGAUAACCUUGCGAAAAGUAAGACUAAUACCCAAUGACGUCUCUAGAAGACAUCUGAAAGAGAUUAAAGAUUUAUCGGUGAUGGAUGGGGAUGCGUCUGAUUAGCUUGUUGGCGGGGUAACGGCCACCAAGGCGACGAUCAGUAGGGGGUUCUGAGAGGAAGGUCCCCCACAUUGGAACUGAGACACGGUCCAAACUCCUACGGGAGGCA
Molecule: ribosomal RNA, 356 nt
Filed under: uncultured bacterium
Lineage: Bacteria
Description: bacterial SSU rRNA
Rfam family: Bacterial small subunit ribosomal RNA
Source: RNAcentral